Molecule: long non-coding RNA, 1482 nt
Organism: Passer domesticus (house sparrow)
Lineage: Eukaryota; Metazoa; Chordata; Aves; Passeriformes; Passeridae
Exons: 3
Source: RefSeq, a predicted model, not a curated record
GAGAGGGGAGAAGGGCAGCCAGGCACGGAAGGGCAUCGCUCCCCUCUCAAUGUCACAGAUGUCUGUCACCCAGCAGUGGUGGCCACGGAGGUGUCGGCAUCUGGCCGGGUGUCAGGGCGAUUAACUGUGACAGCACCACUUUGCCGACGGACGCCGCCAAACCGCCCGGGUUUUCUUCCCCUCUGAUGGAAGGGAGGGCGGCGCGCGCCCUCACCUAGUGGUCCCAGUGCCCAGCCCUGUGUGCAUCCCAUUCCUGCGCUCCACAGCUUCCCCUGGGCCGAAAACGAAAAGGCUGCAAGUCACUCCUGCUUCCUUUUGGGACUAGGGACAUUUCCAAAGCACUGAUGCAGGCAGGAGUGGUGACAGGUAACCCACCCCCAAAAUGGUAUGGAGAAAUAUUACACCACUUUACUAAGGAAGUCUUUUUAAUUCCAGGUGAAACAAGAACGCCACUCUUCCUGCUCCUCAUGAGGGCUUUAGCUCUGACGUAACUUUCCAGCCAAGUCAGGCUUCCCCCUGCUGUUCUGUUCUGAACCAAAAUGGAAAAAGCCAAGCUUUCUUCACUUCUCCGAGGAGGGGAAGAGCUCCCAGACCAACAUCAGGAGUGACCUGUCACCAGGCUGGCAGCAAGACCCACAGAUGAAGGAAGAUGGGGAAUAACCACCUAUCCCCCAUUCUCUAGGAAAGGGAGGACUGGGAGGGACAACAAUGCAACCUCUCCAAUCCCAAUCUGUGUGAAGACUGUGCACACCGUUCCGCAUAAUCAAUCAGCUGGGAAGGUGGCACUGCAAAAGUGACUUUCCUUCCCUAGCCUGCAUGGAAAGGUAUCACCACCAGUGGAGGCAGACACUUGUGGCAUCAGUGCUGCCCAGACAUGACCAUGAAACUGUUUCCCACCAUCUAAGUCUUGCUGCAGGAACAACCAUAACAACUACCUCAGCAAGGAGUCAUCCCCCUGAACCCUCACCAGAGGAGUGCUGUGAUUCCUGCAUCCCUUCUCCUUCACUUCCAGGAAAGCUGCCUGACACACGCUGGACCCUCUUUCCCCAGGUCAGACUCUGCCAGGGCUUUUAUUUAAUGCUCUCUAACGUGCCUGGCUAGCUAGAUAGAUCAGCCUGACCACCAGAUAAAUAUUAUCAUCAAAGCACAAACCCUAGUCCUGUGUGAAGAGUCAUGCCUUCUGCCAUGCUCAGAGUCAUCACCAAGCUGCCUACGUGAGAUCUGCUGGUAUUUCUAACGUUCCCAUCACUGUGGUGCCCGGACAACCAACGGACAAAUAAGGACAGGACCGAAGGGCAGAUCUCACCGUGGAUCUGCCUGAGCACUUACACAGCCCACACCACCCAGCUAGGCAUUUUGAACUCCACACGGCGGCACGAACCCGAGCUGGGACCCAAGGCAAAUAUCGCCGAAGCAGCCUUUUGCAAUGUCAGGAGACCCGAGGCUGAUGCAAGAAGGCAGCGCGCUGCCUCCCUGCCCCGC